GAUGAACGCUGGCGGCGUGCCUAACACAUGCAAGUCGAGCGAUCUUCUUCGGAAGAGAGCGGCGGACGGGUGAGUAACGCGUGGGUAACCUGCCCUGUACACACGGAUAACAUACCGAAAGGUAUGCUAAUACGAGAUAAUAUGCUUUUAUCGCAUGGUAGAAGUAUCAAAGCUUUUGCGGUACAGGAUGGACCCGCGUCUGAUUAGCUAGUUGGUAAGGUAACGGCUUACCAAGGCGACGAUCAGUAGCCGACCUGAGAGGGUGAUCGGCCACAUUGGAACUGAGACACGGUCCAA
This 297-nucleotide ribosomal RNA is filed under the name uncultured bacterium. RNAcentral describes it as "partial 16S ribosomal RNA". It matches the Rfam family "Bacterial small subunit ribosomal RNA", at positions 28 to 334 of the family's 1533-position model. The record is from RNAcentral.